UACGUAGGGGGCAAGCGUUAUCCGGAUUUACUGGGUGUAAAGGGGGCGCAGACGGCAGCGCAAGCCAGGAGUGAAAGCCCGGGGCCCAACCCCGGGACUGCUCUUGGAACUGUGCUGCUAGAGUGUCGGAGAGGCAGGCGGAAUUCCUAGUGUAGCGGUGAAAUGCGUAGAUAUUAGGAGGAGCACCAGUGGCGAAGGCGGCCUGCUGGACGAUGACUGACGUUGAGGCUCGAAAGCGUGGGGAGCAAACAGG
This 253-nucleotide ribosomal RNA is filed under the name uncultured bacterium. RNAcentral's name for it is "partial 16S ribosomal RNA". It matches the Rfam family "Bacterial small subunit ribosomal RNA", at positions 524 to 776 of the family's 1533-position model. The record is from RNAcentral.